This 348-nucleotide long non-coding RNA is filed under the name Cricetulus griseus (Chinese hamster). RNAcentral's name for it is "lncRNA (ENSCGRG00015042823.1)". The record is from RNAcentral. Lineage: Eukaryota; Metazoa; Chordata; Mammalia; Rodentia; Cricetidae.
GUUAGAACAUGUUCAUUAGUCCUUUAUAGUAUCUUUGCAUGUAAAUAGUUAUUAACCAAGGUGUCAAGUAUUGUAACAGAGAUGCAGGAGAUUUGUCUAGACCAUUCCUCAAGAAGCCAGGAAAAGUUAACCAAGAAUCACACUCAGUCUGCCAGUGUUCUUCCAAUGGCCAAGAGGUCAAGGUCGGGGAGCAAGUCAGAGAUCAGAGUCUUUGGCUUCCAGGAGCCAGCAAAAACAUGGAAGAAGAGAGACUUUCUGUAAAGACAACCUUCCUGGAUAGGUCUUGCUUUCAGACUCACCUACCAGAUCUGAGAGAUGGACAGCAUUUCUGUGCUUUGGAUAUUCUAG